Molecule: ribosomal RNA, 301 nt
Filed under: uncultured bacterium
Lineage: Bacteria
Description: partial 16S ribosomal RNA
Rfam family: Bacterial small subunit ribosomal RNA
Source: RNAcentral
CAGCCGCCGCGGGAAUACGAAGGGGGCUAGCGUUGUUCGGAAUUACUGGGCGUAAAGGGCGCGUAGGCGGCCAUUCAAGUUAGAUGUGAAAGCCCUGGGCUUAACCUAGGAAUUGCAUUUGAUACUGUUUGGCUUGAGUUCGGGAGAGGUGAGUGGAAUUCCCAGUGUAGAGGUGAAAUUCGUAGAUAUUGGGAAGAACACCAGUGGCGAAGGCGGCUCACUGGACCGACACUGACGCUGAGGCGCGAAAGCGUGGGGAGCAAACAGGAUUAGAUACCCCCGUAGUCCCUGUCUCUUAUAC